This 217-nucleotide long non-coding RNA is filed under the name Elaeis guineensis (African oil palm). Its description in RNAcentral is "long non-coding RNA (EGUI_LNC032266)". The record is from RNAcentral. Lineage: Eukaryota; Viridiplantae; Streptophyta; Magnoliopsida; Arecales; Arecaceae.
AUGUAAAUCAGAGGAUAUUGCAAUAGAGUUCAUUGAGGUAGACCAUAGGCUAAUCAUGGUAUUUAUGAAUGGAUGUAUAAAUUUAAAUCCUUAGCCUGGGCAAAAUGUUAGAAUUUAAAUGAAGAGAAUAUGUGAAGAUCCAUAAGAGCAUGCAUUUAGUCUCGCAUCGAUUAUUUACCGAGAAGAUCUUAUGUACUUAUACAAGACUGAAGAACCC